GCCAGGGAGGGAGAGAGAAACUAUCUGCCUUGCUUGGAGGGAGGCCCUUCCCUGGUCUCCAAGGAAAAAGAAAACCUGGCUGGCUCAGCACUGCCUGAAAUGUGAUUGUUGCACCCGAGUCAAGGGCCCCUGGUGUACACAGCUCCAGUGACAUCAAGUGAUACAACUCCCUCCUUCAGUGCCCAACUGGUAAUUUCUAUGGAAAUUAAAACAAAAGCAAACUCAUAUUACUCAGAUGCAAAAUUGGAUGGAGAAAGACCUGGCAAAGGUGAAAUACUGACCGCUUUCCUAUCAUUGCUAGUCAGCA
Elgaria multicarinata webbii is the source of this 307-nucleotide long non-coding RNA. RefSeq lists it as uncharacterized. The transcript has 3 exons. Lineage: Eukaryota; Metazoa; Chordata; Lepidosauria; Squamata; Anguidae. The record is from RefSeq and is a predicted model, not a curated record.